RNAcentral lists this unclassified non-coding RNA (380 nucleotides) under soil metagenome. RNAcentral describes it as "partial contains 5.8S ribosomal RNA, internal transcribed spacer 2, and large subunit ribosomal RNA". The stretch from base 1 to 120 matches the Rfam family "5.8S ribosomal RNA", at positions 35 to 154 of the family's 154-position model. The record is from RNAcentral.
GAUGAAGAACGUAGCGAAAUGCGAUAAGUAAUGUGAAUUGCAGAAUUCAGUGAAUCAUCGAAUCUUUGAACGCACCUUGCACCCUUUGGCAUUCUGAAGGGUAUGCUCGUUUGAGUGUCAUUGUACUCUCACACUCCCGAUCUUUGCAUUGGGAGCAGUGGACUUGGGUUUGCUGCUUCACCGUCGCUUACCUCAAAUAGGUUAGUGCAACUCUUGGUUGGACAUAGUACGGCGUGAUAAGUGUUCUUCGCCGGUGCCUCGCAAAGAGGGUGGCCGAUCGGGAUGUUGUGCUCCAAACCGUCUUCGGACAAUCUCUGACGACUUGACCUCAAAUCGAUUAAGACUACCCGCUGAACUUAAGCAUAUCAAUAAGCGGAGGA